GGGUUUUGAGAUAGAGGAAUAUUUGUGCAGAUCAUCUUUGGAACUAGGUUCCUGCUGAUCUUUGUAUCACUCCAAUUUUAUUGGAUAUCUGUGAAGGAACAAAAUACUGAUGAGAGCGAUGCCAGAAUAUCACUUAGUGAAAAAACAAACCGAGUUACUAAGUAUUAAACAUCACACCAAAAUAAAUGCUAAAAAAAGCAGAGUUACUAAGUAUUAGAAAUCACACUAAAAUAAAUGCUAAAAAAAAC
RNAcentral lists this long non-coding RNA (248 nucleotides) under Amborella trichopoda. Its description in RNAcentral is "long non-coding RNA (ATRI_LNC005476)". Lineage: Eukaryota; Viridiplantae; Streptophyta; Magnoliopsida; Amborellales; Amborellaceae. The record is from RNAcentral.